UACGUAGGGUGCAAGCGUUGUCCGGAAUUAUUGGGCGUAAAGAGCUCGUAGGCGGUUUGUCGCGUCGAAUGUGAAAACCCGGGGCUCAACUCCGGGCCUGCAUUCGAUACGGGCAGACUAGAGUUCGGUAGGGGAGACUGGAAUUCCUGGUGUAGCGGUGAAAUGCGCAGAUAUCGGGAGGAACACCGGUGGCGAAGGCGGUUCUCUGGGCCUGGCCUGACGCUGAGGAGCGAAAGCGUGGGGAGCGAACAGG
RNAcentral lists this ribosomal RNA (253 nucleotides) under uncultured bacterium. RNAcentral describes it as "partial 16S ribosomal RNA". It matches the Rfam family "Bacterial small subunit ribosomal RNA", at positions 524 to 776 of the family's 1533-position model. The record is from RNAcentral.